Molecule: transfer RNA, 70 nt
Filed under: Cyclobacterium plantarum
Lineage: Bacteria; Pseudomonadati; Bacteroidota; Cytophagia; Cytophagales; Cyclobacteriaceae
Description: tRNA-Cys
Source: RNAcentral
CGUCGGCUCAGCUGGCUAGAGCAUCCCGACGCAGUCGGGAGGGUCAACGGUUCGAAUCCCUGCCUGACGG